RNAcentral lists this ribosomal RNA (245 nucleotides) under uncultured bacterium. Its description in RNAcentral is "partial 16S ribosomal RNA". It matches the Rfam family "Bacterial small subunit ribosomal RNA", at positions 90 to 334 of the family's 1533-position model. The record is from RNAcentral.
CGUGAGCGGCGGACGGGUGAGUAACGCGUGGGUAACCGUGCCUCAUACAGGGGGAUAACAGUUGGAAACGGCUGCUAAUACCGCAUAAGCGCACAGUACCGCAUGGUACGGUGUGAAAAACUCCGGUGGUAUGAGAUGGACCCGCGUCUGAUUAGGUAGUUGGUGGGGUAACGGCCUACCAAGCCGACGAUCAGUAGCCGACCUGAGAGGGUGACCGGCCACAUUGGGACUGAGACACGGCCCAA